UAAAAACAACCUUAUGUUGAUAUUGACAUUGUAUAUGAAAGAAGGGAAUGUCGUCUGGAUGUGAUGUCUAUCUCUUUGUCUCUUCCAUUAAAUGGCUGCCCUGUGAUUGGUAAUGUUCAGAUAAAGCAGCUGUAUUAUUAAGAUUCCCUUCCUUCAUCACAUGGGGAACGAAAUCUUCAUUAUCUAUUUUUCACAUGCUUGUAAAGAAAGACUUAACAAAACAAAGUUACCGGGUUGUUCUGUUUAACGUUUUAAGUGGUGGGAGUUGCACUGGGGACUCUAUUAUAGCACUUCAACAUCAUUAAAGGGCAGGUUUUCAUGAAAUGUCCUCUUAGAAUUUUUAAAGUGUGCUCUCUAAAACUCAAACUUUUUAAUUCUGUGUAUUUCAUGACUUUUACCCUUAUUAUUGUUUUUUGUUUUAGAUAUUACAUCACUGCUAUGCUGUGAUUAAAUUUCCUGAAGAUAACACUGUUGAUGUUGUGCCUUCCACAUGGCUUGAUAUUACAAAUGAGACUGUAUAUUGUUAUUGGCCACGUAAAAACUUCACAGCCAAGGUAAAACGAAGAGAUGUACCAGACACUAAACUUUGGUCGAAGCAUGUUGCCUCUAUUCUGGGAUAUGCAGACACCUAUGAAGAAGCUAGGUGCAAAGCAAAUCAAGCAACCGUGACUUCAAACUUAGAGAGUGAGGAUGAAGAUCUUGUUCAUAGAAAAAGAAGACCACCAUCACGAUACCGGAGAUCACUG
Paramisgurnus dabryanus is the source of this 746-nucleotide long non-coding RNA. RefSeq lists it as uncharacterized. NCBI's taxonomy places the organism in Eukaryota, Metazoa, Chordata, Actinopteri, Cypriniformes, Cobitidae. The record is from RefSeq and is a predicted model, not a curated record.